AAAUUGAAGAGUUUGAUCAUGGCUCAGAUUGAACGCUGGCGGCAGGCCUAACACAUGCAAGUCGAACGGUAACAGGAAGCAGCUUGCUGCUUUGCUGACGAGUGGCGGACGGGUGAGUAAUGUCUGGGAAACUGCCUGAUGGAGGGGGAUAACUACUGGAAACGGUGGCUAAUACCGCAUAACGUCGCAAGACCAAAGAGGGGGACCUUCGGGCCUCUUGCCAUCAGAUGUGCCCAGAUGGGAUUAGCUUGUUGGUGAGGUAACGGCUCACCAAGGCGACGAUCCCUAGCUGGUCUGAGAGGAUGACCAGCCACACUGGAACUGAGACACGGUCCAGACUCCUACGGGAGGCAGCAGUGGGGAAUAUUGCACAAUGGGCGCAAGCCUGAUGCAGCCAUGCCGCGUGUAUGAAGAAGGCCUUCGGGUUGUAAAGUACUUUCAGCGGGGAGGAAGGUGUUGUGGUUAAUAACCGCAGCAAUUGACGUUACCCGCAGAAGAAGCACCGGCUAACUCCGUGCCAGCAGCCGCGGUAAUACGGAGGGUGCAAGCGUUAAUCGGAAUUACUGCGUAAAGCGCACGCAGGCGGUCUGUCAAGUCGGAUGUGAAAUCCCCGGGCUCAACCUGGGAACUGCAUUCGAAACUGGCAGGCUUGAGUCUUGUAGAGGGGGGUAGAAUUCCAGGUGUAGCGGUGAAAUGCGUAGAGAUCUGGAGGAAUACCGGUGGCGAAGGCGGCCCCCUGGACAAAGACUGACGCUCAGGUGCGAAAGCGUGGGGAGCAAACAGGAUUAGAUACCCUGGUAGUCCACGCCGUAAACGAUGUCUACUUGGAGGUUGUGCCCUUGAGGCGUGGCUUCCGGAGCUAACGCGUUAAGUAGACCGCCUGGGGAGUACGGCCGCAAGGUUAAAACUCAAAUGAAUUGACGGGGGCCCGCACAAGCGGUGGAGCAUGUGGUUUAAUUCGAUGCAACGCGAAGAACCUUACCUGGUCUUGACAUCCACAGAAGAAUCACAGAUGGAUUUGUGCCUUCGGGAACUGUGAGACAGGUGCUGCAUGGCUGUCGUCAGCUCGUGUUGUGAAAUGUUGGGUUAAGUCCCGCAACGAGCGCAACCCUUAUCCUUUGUUGCCAGCGGUCCGGCCGGGAACUCAAAGGAGACUGCCAGUGAUAAACUGGAGGAAGGUGGGGAUGACGUCAAGUCAUCAUGGCCCUUACGACCAGGGCUACACACGUGCUACAAUGGCGCAUACAAAGAGAAGCGACCUCGCGAGAGCAAGCGGACCUCAUAAAGUGCGUCGUAGUCCGGAUUGGAGUCUGCAACUCGACUCCAUGAAGUCGGAAUCGCUAGUAAUCGUGGAUCAGAAUGCCACGGUGAAUACGUUCCCGGGCCUUGUACACACCGCCCGUCACACCAUGGGAGUGGGUUGCAAAAGAAGUAGGUAGCUUAACCUUCGGGAGGGCGCUUACCACUUUGUGAUUCAUGACUGGGGUGAAGUCGUAACAAGGUAACCGUAGGGGAACCUGCGGUUGGAUCACCUCCUUACCUU
Molecule: ribosomal RNA, 1543 nt
Filed under: Salmonella enterica
Lineage: Bacteria; Pseudomonadati; Pseudomonadota; Gammaproteobacteria; Enterobacterales; Enterobacteriaceae
Description: bacterial SSU rRNA
Rfam family: Bacterial small subunit ribosomal RNA
Source: RNAcentral